GUUGUAUGGUUAAGUGACUAAGCGUACACGGUGGAUGCCUGGGCAGUCAGAGGCGAUGAAGGACGUACUAACUUGCGAUAAGCGCAGAUAAGGCAGUAAGAGCCGUUUGAGUCUGCGAUUUCCGAAUGGGGAAACCCAACUGCAUAAGCAGUUACUGUUAACUGAAUACAUAGGUUAACAGAGCAAACCGGGGGAACUGAAACAUCUAAGUACCCCGAGGAGAAGAAAUCAACCGAGAUUCCGGUAGUAGCGGCGAGCGAACCUGGAUUAGCCCUUAAGCGCUCGGUGAAGUAGGUGAACAAGCUGGAAAGCUUGGCGAUACAGGGUGAUAGCCCCGUAACCGACGCUUCAUCGAGCGUGAAAUCGAGUAGGGCGGGACACGUGAUAUCCUGUCUGAAUAUGGGGGGACCAUCCUCCAAGGCUAAAUACUCCUGACUGACCGAUAGUGAACCAGUACCGUGAGGGAAAGGCGAAAAGAACCCCUGUGAGGGGAGUGAAAUAGAACCUGAAACCGUGUACGUACAAGCAGUAGGAGCACCUUCGUGGUGUGACUGCGUACCUUUUGUAUAAUGGGUCAGCGACUUAUAUUCAGUGGCAAGGUUAACCGUAUAGGGGAGCCGUAGCGAAAGCGAGUCUUAACUGGGCGCUCAGUCUCUGGAUAUAGACCCGAAACCGGGUGAUCUAGCCAUGGGCAGGUUGAAGGUUGAGUAACAUCAACUGGAGGACCGAACCGACUAAUGUUGAAAAAUUAGCGGAUGACUUGUGGCUAGGGGUGAAAGGCCAAUCAAACUCGGAGAUAGCUGGUUCUCCCCGAAAGCUAUUUAGGUAGCGCCUCGGACGAAUACUACUGGGGGUAGAGCACUGUUAAGGCUAGGGGGUCAUCCCGACUUACCAACCCUUUGCAAACUCCGAAUACCAGUAAGUACUAUCCGGGAGACACACGGCGGGUGCUAACGUCCGUCGUGGAGAGGGAAACAACCCAGACCGCCAGCUAAGGUCCCAAAGUAUUGCUAAGUGGGAAACGAUGUGGGAAGGCUCAGACAGCUAGGAUGUUGGCUUAGAAGCAGCCAUCAUUUAAAGAAAGCGUAAUAGCUCACUAGUCGAGUCGGCCUGCGCGGAAGAUGUAACGGGGCUAAGCAAUACACCGAAGCUGCGGCAAUGUCUUUUAGACAUUGGGUAGGGGAGCGUUCUGUAAGCCGUUGAAGGUGAAUCGUAAGGUUUGCUGGAGGUAUCAGAAGUGCGAAUGCUGACAUGAGUAACGACAAAGGGGGUGAAAAACCUCCUCGCCGGAAGACCAAGGGUUCCUGUCCAACGUUAAUCGGGGCAGGGUGAGUCGACCCCUAAGGUGAGGCCGAAAGGCGUAAUCGAUGGGAAACGGGUUAAUAUUCCCGUACUUCUGACUAUUGCGAUGGGGGGACGGAGAAGGCUAGGUGGGCCAGGCGACGGUUGUCCUGGUUCAAGUGCGUAGGCUUGAGAGUUAGGUAAAUCCGGCUCUCUCUAAGGCUGAGACACGACGUCGAGCUGCUACGGCAGUGAAGUCAUUGAUGCCAUGCUUCCAGGAAAAGCCUCUAAGCUUCAGAUAGUCAGGAAUCGUACCCCAAACCGACACAGGUGGUCGGGUAGAGAAUACCAAGGCGCUUGAGAGAACUCGGGUGAAGGAACUAGGCAAAAUGGUACCGUAACUUCGGGAGAAGGUACGCUCUUGAUGGUGAAGUCCCUCGCGGAUGGAGCUGACGAGAGUCGCAGAUACCAGGUGGCUGCAACUGUUUAUUAAAAACACAGCACUGUGCAAAAUCGCAAGAUGACGUAUACGGUGUGACGCCUGCCCGGUGCCGGAAGGUUAAUUGAUGGGGUUAGCGUAAGCGAAGCUCUUGAUCGAAGCCCCGGUAAACGGCGGCCGUAACUAUAACGGUCCUAAGGUAGCGAAAUUCCUUGUCGGGUAAGUUCCGACCUGCACGAAUGGCGUAAUGAUGGCCACGCUGUCUCCACCCGAGACUCAGUGAAAUUGAAAUCGCUGUGAAGAUGCAGUGUACCCGCGGCUAGACGGAAAGACCCCGUGAACCUUUACUACAGCUUGGCACUGAACAUUGAACCUACAUGUGUAGGAUAGGUGGGAGGCUAUGAAGACGUGACGCCAGUUGCGUUGGAGCCGUCCUUGAAAUACCACCCUUGUAUGUUUGAUGUUCUAAC
Molecule: ribosomal RNA, 2190 nt
Filed under: Vibrio cholerae
Lineage: Bacteria; Pseudomonadati; Pseudomonadota; Gammaproteobacteria; Vibrionales; Vibrionaceae
Description: partial 23S ribosomal RNA
Rfam family: Bacterial large subunit ribosomal RNA
Source: RNAcentral